CAGAUCGAAGCUGUGAAGCUCUGUCCUCAGUUCUCAGCUCCCAGUCCUCUAGUCUGAGAGAGCUGGACCUGAGUAACAACAACCUGCAGGAUUCAGGAGUGAAACUGCUGUCUGCUGGACUGGAGAUUCCACACUGUACACUGGUAACCCUGAGGCUGUCAGGCUGUCUGAUAACAGAGGAAGGCUUGUACUUCUAACCCCUCCCAUCUGAGAGAGCUGGACCUGAGCUACAAUCAUCCAGGAGACUCAGGAGUGAAGCUGCUGUCUGCUGGACUGGAGGAUCCACACCGGAGACUGGACACUCUCAGGUCCCAGGCAUGCGACCAUACGAACAAUUAAUCUGAUCAAAACGUUAUGCUGUUGCUGCAGUGACUCCUCGCAGCAGAACACUUCUUCACAUCCCCACAGCUUUAGCAAGACAAACAGUUAACAACAACAACAACAUGACAACAUCCCCAAGUUCCUCAUGCUGCUGCACAAGAUCAGCUUUUAACAGGUUAACGUGCAAAAUAACUAGAAUGCCACAUAUUUAGGUGAACUCAGCAUAUCAGUUACCAACCCAAUCAACAGCACGACUCCGGCCACAGGAGCUCUCGGGUCCUCAGCACAAACAAGCCAGGAGCAGAUGCACACAGAGCAACCAAACUGUCAGCCCGCCAUGACAGAAGAACACAAAGACGGCGCUAGCCUGCGGACCAGAGGCACAACAACUAAUAAAACAGGACUUCUAAAACUUACUAGAGCAACUUACAGCUCAUCUAAAAUGCAUGAAAACAUUCUUCCAUCACUUAUUAUGUGUUUUCAUCGUGCUUAUACAUGACACUAACCGGAUAAAAGGUGGAACGAGUAGACAGGACAACGUUAGGCUGUUGCUGCAGUGACUCCUCGGGCCAACAAGAGCGUAAAGCAGCUCCGUCAGCUGCCGACGUCCUGCUGCCGCCUACUGACGUUCCUGGGUAUUGCACCCAAAAUAACAAGUCCACAAAGACUGAAUAAGAGAAGCUUUUUAAAACUGACAAGAAAACAUCAGCAAGAGCUGGAAUACACAUGAAAAAUGUGACCAUAUGUUUUAUGUGCAACAUUUGUGGACAUCCUCAAUAAACAGA
Micropterus salmoides (largemouth bass) is the source of this 1106-nucleotide long non-coding RNA. RefSeq lists it as uncharacterized. NCBI's taxonomy places the organism in Eukaryota, Metazoa, Chordata, Actinopteri, Centrarchiformes, Centrarchidae. The transcript has 3 exons. The record is from RefSeq and is a predicted model, not a curated record.